GCGCCAGUGGUGUAGCGGCAUCAUGCGAGGUUGCCAAUCUCGUGACCCGGGUUCGAGUCCCGGCUGGCGCA
Molecule: non-coding RNA, 71 nt
Organism: Varanus komodoensis (Komodo dragon)
Lineage: Eukaryota; Metazoa; Chordata; Lepidosauria; Squamata; Varanidae
Source: the annotation of a RefSeq genome assembly